Long non-coding RNA from Acinonyx jubatus (cheetah), 5043 nucleotides. RefSeq lists it as uncharacterized. NCBI's taxonomy places the organism in Eukaryota, Metazoa, Chordata, Mammalia, Carnivora, Felidae. The transcript has 4 exons. The record is from RefSeq and is a predicted model, not a curated record.
GCGCGCCCGCCUGCCCGCGCGCGCCGGCGCCCCCUCCCCGCCACGUGACCGGCGGCUCAGCACGACCCGCGAUUUGCACCCCCGCUACGCGGCGCGGACGGAGCCGCAGCGCUCCUCUGCGGAGCUCGCCCCUCAGGUCCUCAGUCCAAGGAGCUCGCGGUGACUUACCCGCGUGCGGGACGCCGGCGCCGGCCUACCCCUCAGUCUCUGGCAGAGAAAAGGGAAAAGCCGCGAAGGACGGAUGGGGCGUACCCCCGGGGUCCUGACUCAGAGCCUGCCCUGUGGUAUUUGGUGGAUGGUGGUGGUUAAACACAGGAACCGGGAAAGAAGAGCGGCUCAGAGGGUGGCGACCCCCGUCUCUAGGGGGAAGAGGCUGAUAGACUGGAUGAUGCAUGGGUAAUCUGCUGUUGGCAAGCUUGUUAAGUGAGCAAAACUUCUGAAGAUUUUAAGGUGUGACCACAUCAUGCAUGAAACAGCCCAGACGUGCUUCAACCAUAACAUGGGAGUACAUGAUUCAGACUAUGUCGGCAACAUAGCUCACUUACGGAAUCCAGUGGAAUGAGAGACAGAUGGACUCCAAGAGUCAUUGGGGAGAGCUCUUCAUCACUGCAGCCAUGCACCUAAACCUAAACAGGUUUUUCUGCCAAGAAUCUAGGGAAAUCCCAUCUCCCCAAAUUUACAGAUAACAUCACUAAGGUUUUUUUUUACCUGACAAGUACUAUAAAGCUGAGAUUGUGCUCACUUUGGUAGCACAUAUACUAAAGAAAAGCUGAGAUUUUUUUUUUAACGUUUAUUUAUUUUGAGAGAGAGAGAGAGAGAGUGGGGAAGGUCCAGAGAAAGAGAGAGAGAGAAUCCCAAGCAGGCUCUGCCAUCAGUGCAGAGCCUGACAUGGGGCUCAGUCCCAUGAACCGUGAAGUCACGACCUGAGCCUGAAAACAAGAGUUGGACACUUAACCAACUGAGCCACCUAGGCGCCCCUAUUAAGCUGAGAUUUAAACCUAGGUCUAUUUUACUUAGCCUGUGUUAAAUACUAGGCUAUUUUCAUUUUAUUUUGUUCAAAAUCCUGAGGUCAUAGAGAAGAAUAGAAGGGUAGUGAUGAGGUGGAUAAUAGGAGGCAGAAAACGCAGGGUUGUUUUAAAGUCUCAACCCUGAGCCUUCUAUCUUUUGUACACUUUCUUCAUAGAAGACACUUUCUCCUACCUGGUAAGUUGUGUACAGGACAACAUGGAAAUAGAGGAGAGGCAGAUAGACCAACAAGGGAGUAAUUUUAGUAAUUCUAUUAUAUAAUUCAAACCUCCUUGUAAUGCAAUUUAGCUUCCCCACUGAUUGUGAAUUAAUCAGGUUUCAUAAUUAUAUUUAUAAUCAGGUUCUUUCUACGUAAUUAUUGUUUGUACUUGAGCAAAUUGCUUAGGAAGGCCACCUCCAAAUCCAAAUUAAAUGUUUCAUUUCCUAUUUCCUUUAUGGGGGCACAUGAUUAUUUUGGGAAAAGCAUUGGCUUGACAAUUAAAUUCCAUGUCUUGCUGUAUCUCCUAGGGAAGACCUAGAUCUCUUUUAAUUAUUUUUUAACAUUACAUAUUCACAAGUCUUACCAACCCAUGGAUGGGAAGGAAGGGCUCUUAGUGGAUCCCUGAAGUAUUACAGACCUCAGGCAAACUUGUAUGCAGUCUUUGUAUUUUAAAAAUUCAGGUAUUCCGGGAAGCCUGGGUGGCUUAGUCAGUUGAGCAUCAGACUCUUGAUUUUGGCUCAGGUCUUGAUCCCAGGAUCGUGGGAGCAAGCCCCACAUCAGGCUCCAUGCUGAAUGUAGAGCCUGCUUGGGAUUCUGUGUCUCCCUCUGCCCCUACCCUGCUCAUGUUCUCUCGUCUCUCUCCCUCUCUCUCCCUCUCUCUCUCUCUCUCUCUCUCUCUCUCUCUUUAAAAUAAAGAAUAAAUAAAAAGGGAGUAAAAUUCAUGUAUUCUAAAUCCCUAAUGAGUUAUCCACUAUUAAGAAUGCAAAAGCUUCAGAAUUCAGAAAUUACCUUAACAAUAUCAGAUAGCCAUAUAAACAUGUUGUGAUCUAAAUUAAACAUUCUCCAUGUAGAAAACUUUUCUUCGAGUUAGCAAAGCAAAUAAAAUUUCUCCUUAAUUUUCACCUGAAGAGGGAAAGCUAGGGUGAGUGAAGAACAGGGUGUGUUUUAAGCUAGGUAUGAAAGGCCUAAUAGAAAAAUCAAGGCUAGAUUUUUCUCUUGUAUGUUGAAGAGAAAUUUAAAUUAUGUGUUAGUGUUUGGUAUGAUUUCCUGUCAGUUUGGAAAGUUAACCUUUCCAGGACAAUCUCUACUAGAAAUUAAGGCGCUUUUUUUUCCCCCUAAAGUUUAUUUAUUUAUUUUGAGAGAGAGAGAGAGAGCAUACCCGUGGGAGGGGCAAAGGGUGAGGGAGAGAGAGAAUCCCAAGGCGGCUCGUUGCUGUCAUUGCAGAGCCUGACACGGGACUCAAUCUCACAAAUCAGGUGAGAUCUUGACAUGAACCGAAAUCGGGAGUUGGACACUUGGGGCUCUGUGCUGACAGUGUGGACCCUGCUUGGGAUUCUGUCUCCCUCCUUCUCUCUCUGCCCCUCCCCCACCUCAAAAUAAAUAAACUUAAAAAAAAAAAAAGAGUGGGAUGUUUAACUGACUGAGCCAACCCAAGCUUUCUUUUCAAAAAGAUUUUUGCCUACUCCUUUUCAGAGAGAUAGCAAGACAUGUUUGACUGAAGAACAUUUGCCACCUUUUGGUUAUCCAGUGUAGUGUAGUACAGUUCCUUUUAUCCCACUUCCCUUUCUUUUCAUAGACUGGAAGAUAAUCCAAAAAUAAACGUGUUCAGAAAUGGAGGUAUACAUACAUGAAAGCUAAGGACAGUCCCGUGUAUCUAGGUCUCUAGGCAAUCUUUUCCUGGUCUUUUCAUCUUGGUAUUCUACCCUUAUCAGAAAAAAAAAAAAAAAGAAAAAAGAAAAAGGACUGUGCUGUAGACUCAAUAUAUGAAAGUGCCUCACUUUCCUGAGAAUUUUGAUUCUUGUAUUCAAGAUGUAUGUGGAGUUUGGUUCAGUUAGAUUUAUGACACCAGAAUUGUUGAAAAGCAAUAAAUUACUACUAUAAUUUCUGUUUUAUUUUAAAUAAUAACGAUCUCUGUUUUUAACUUGUUUGGGAAAGAACAAGCUAUGAACUUUUCUCAGUCUUUGAUGCAGGACUCCAGCUAAACUAGCAAAAGACACUGCCUCAAAGAAACUAAAUAUUUUUUUUCUUUAACAAUUUAACUUUCUAUCUUUUCUCUUUCAAGAUGUAUCAUUAUAAACUUCUUACAAACAAGGACUGUUUCUUCUCAUGGUAUCCUGCAGAUUGCCUUAUACAGACCUACAUAUGAUAGCUAAUAAAAACUUGAGUAUUUUAAAACGGUGAGUCUCAAUGUAAUGAUGAUGAUGGUAAAUGGCAACUAACAUUUAUAUAAAAAGUCUGUGCUAGACGCCGUUGUAAACGUUUCACACAGAAUUGCUCAAUGUAAAACCACUUUUAUCCAGUCAUCCUUAAUUUUUUGGCAAACCUCUUUCAGAAUCUGUGUUACAGUGAAUUCCACAAUUCAGCCUUCAUCUCCCCAACAAGAAUAGCUAGAAUUCCACUCUCAUCCUUUAUUAUUUUGACUCCAGGAAACUGUCACUUUUUCCAUCCAUGCUUGUCCCUAAGGCUUGACCUGAAUACACACAGCAGGUUGCUGCUUUGCUUAUCUUAGGACAUAAAGAAGUAAACAAAGCCUAAAGUAAUUUUGCAGUUGGUAUAAAUCCUUGCUCACCUUCACCGAAGUGAGAGAUACAAUAAACAUGUUGAUUUGAAGUCUGUCUGCCCUACCUUUUACUAUUUUUCAGAAAAAUAUUAGGACCAGCUUCCUCAGCAAAUGUAGGGAGAUAACAGAUCUUCCUGGAUAUUAUGAUGGAGUUAUAUCCUAAUAAAUCCAUUGUAAAUUGAAAAUAUCCUAAGUUGAAAAUGCAUUUUUUAAUAUACCUAACCUACUGAACAUCAUAGCUUAGCCUAACCUACCUUAAACCUACUCAGAAUACUUAUGUUAGCCUACAGUUGGGCAACAUCAUCUAACACAAGACUAUUUUAUACUAAAGUGUUGCAUAUCUCAUGUAAUUUAUUGAAUACUGAAAGUGAGAAGCAGAAUGGAUGUGUGGGUACAAAGUGGCUGUAAGCACGGGGUUUACCCUCACGAUCACAGGGCUGACAGAGCUGCAGCUCACUGCCCCUGCCCUGCUUCAUGGGAGAGGAUCAUACUGCAUGCAUAUCACUAGCCAGGAAAAAGAUCACAAUUUGGAAGUACGGUUUCUACUGAAUGUAUCACUUUCACACCAUGGGUAAGGCAAAAAAAUCGUUAAGUCCAAUCAUCCUAAGUCAGGGACCAUCUACAUUAUGAAACUUCUUUGUAAUAUAUAAUGGGUUGUUUCCAUUUAGAAAUCUAACAAAGUGAUAAUAGUUUUUCUCCCCAUUCGGUCUUGAUUUCUGUUUUAAAAAGCCAUUCAGUCUCAUGCAAUUGGGAAAUUGCACUGCUUAGCAGUGAGAUGAAGGUUGAUAAAACUGCCAUUCGACAAGCUUGGGACCUGACUCUUUAAUAAUGGAGUUAGUACACUUUUCUUCCAGACCACAAGAGGUGUUUCUGCCAGAGUGGUGGUUCACAGACCUGGGCGGUGGAGGAUAAUCUGGCUUUGUUUACUGAGGAAUUUUUAAGGCACUAGCCUAGAACACACUUACAAAAAUGCUGUUCUGCCAACCAAAGCUCCUUUCUUGGUGAUAUCACAAUUCUGCCAUUUCUGAAGAUUUACAGAUAUUGACCAUUUACAGCCUUAAGACUUUGCUGUGGUUUUGGCACAUAACGCCACUGCUAUACAUUAUGGAUUACACAAGGCUUUUGUGCAAGUUUUAAGUGCAAGGGCAAGUGUAAGGCACUGAUUCAUUUUACUUAAUUCAUCCAUUUAUUCAUUUAGUCUUUCACUCCGUGUUUACUGAGUGCCUACUAUGUGUAAUAAAAUUUUUAUUAAAUUCUA